Molecule: long non-coding RNA, 428 nt
Organism: Lampris incognitus (smalleye Pacific opah)
Lineage: Eukaryota; Metazoa; Chordata; Actinopteri; Lampriformes; Lampridae
Exons: 4
Source: RefSeq, a predicted model, not a curated record
GCAGCAGGAGCAGUAAAAGUGGAUGUAUUUCACAGCAACACAACAGCGUCAUAGUGGAACAUUCUUGCGUGACGUGGUUUCAGUGGGUCCCUGUUGCUGCUGGCGACGCCUUCCUGCUUCAUGUAGGGGACAAUAAGAAUAAUUGGUAUCCAGACAGAACCAACAGCAGCCAACAGGUUAUAGUGUGUUGUCUCUCCUCGUUCUGCUGGUCUACACUCUGCUAUGAAUGUGUCUGAGGAGAGAGAGGAGGGAGGUUCUACCUCUAAAACCACUCUGUCUGGGGAACAUGACAGCCAGACCAAAGCUAAGAGUCCAGUCCAUCAGGAGAGACCAGACUCCCCUGUACCCAGCUGUGUGUCCAUGAAGAGUGACUGGUCUAUGGAUCUACCUUAUACAUUCAGAGAUGGACACCCCUCUACUGAACAGAG